GCAGGAUAUGGUGGCACAUACCUGUAUUCCCUGCUACUUUGGAGGCUGAGGAAGGAGGAUUGCUUGAGUCCAGGAGUUCAGGGCCAACCUAGGCAGCAUAGUGAGACCCUGCCUCAA
RNAcentral lists this small RNA (117 nucleotides) under Marmota monax (woodchuck). Lineage: Eukaryota; Metazoa; Chordata; Mammalia; Rodentia; Sciuridae. The record is from RNAcentral.